ACUAAUUAUUAAUAUGGCACAGGGAAAAGCUGCUGAAUGUUUAAAUCUACCCUAUCUGAUAUGGAGAGACUUUAAAAUUGGACUGUUGAAACUCCAACUGAGUAGCAGUAAGCUGCCUUAACUGUACAGUGGUACAACCAGUCAGGAGAGCUGCCAAAAUGAGCUGACACAAAUACAGCACUGUCUUCUCCCUACAUAUGUCUUGGGUCAUGAGGCAUAGCAGCAUUUGAGCUUCAGAAUGGUGCUUGAAGAGCAUGCUUCAUGGGGACAUGAGCAUCAACAUAACACAAUGACCAAGAUUCUGAUACCAUCAAACCAACAUAAGUUCUUGAUACUUCAUUUUUAAGGCCAGAUUUUUGCCAGUGGUACCAAUAAGGAGACACCAUUGAUGGUAAAACAUCUUCUAGUACUUACUUUUGUCUCAUCUCUUAUGAACCCAUCAGUGAGUACAAAUAAGAAGUAAAGGAGAAGACAUGUUACAGCCAAGAUUUUCAAGGG
Motacilla alba alba is the source of this 498-nucleotide long non-coding RNA. RefSeq lists it as uncharacterized. The record is from RefSeq and is a predicted model, not a curated record. Lineage: Eukaryota; Metazoa; Chordata; Aves; Passeriformes; Motacillidae. The transcript has 4 exons.